GACGGGCAGAUGAUCGCGGCUGCAGAGACGAAAGACUGCAGGUGAGGAAAGUCCGGGCUUCAAAGGGCAGGAUGCCGGAUAACGUCCGGUGGAGGCGACUCCCAGGAAAGUGCAACAGAAAAGAACCGCCGGCUUCACGCCGGUAAGGGUGCAAAGGCGGUGUAAGAGACCACCGCCCGGGUGGUAACAUCCGGGGCCAUGUAAACCCCAUCCGAAGCAAGACCGAACAGGACAGAUCGGCGGCCCGUCGGUUGUCUCUCUCGAGAGGCAACACUGUCCGGGUAGGUUGCUUGACUGCAGCGGUGACGCUGCAGCUAGAUAGAUGAUCAUCCACGACAUAACCCGGCUUAUCGCCCGUCUUUU
This 363-nucleotide RNase P RNA is filed under the name uncultured Stomatobaculum sp. Its description in RNAcentral is "Bacterial RNase P class A". It matches the Rfam family "Bacterial RNase P class A". From Rfam's summary of the family: Ribonuclease P (RNase P) is a ubiquitous endoribonuclease, found in archaea, bacteria and eukarya as well as chloroplasts and mitochondria. Its best characterised activity is the generation of mature 5'-ends of tRNAs by cleaving the 5'-leader elements of precursor-tRNAs. The record is from RNAcentral. Lineage: Bacteria; Bacillati; Bacillota; Clostridia; Lachnospirales; Lachnospiraceae.